Molecule: ribosomal RNA, 652 nt
Filed under: uncultured cyanobacterium
Lineage: Bacteria; Bacillati; Cyanobacteriota
Description: bacterial SSU rRNA
Rfam family: Bacterial small subunit ribosomal RNA
Source: RNAcentral
GAGAAUCUGCCUUCUGGUCGGGGACAACCACUGGAAACGGUGGCUAAUACCGGAUGAGCCGAAGGGUAAAAGAUUAAUUGCCAGAAGAGGAGCUCGCGUCUGAUUAGCUAGUUGGUAGGGUAAAAGCCUACCAAGGCAUCGAUCAGUAGCUGGUCUGAGAGGACGAUCAGCCACACUGGGACUGAGACACGGCCCAGACUCCUACGGGAGGCAGCAGUGGGGAAUUUUCCGCAAUGGGCGAAAGCCUGACGGAGCAAGACCGCGUGAGGGAAGAAGGCUCUUGGGUCGUAAACCUCUUUUGUUAGGGAAGAACACAAUGACGGUACCUAACGAAUCAGCCUCGGCUAACUCCGUGCCAGCAGCCGCGGUAAUACGGAGGAGGCAAGCGUUAUCCGGAAUUAUUGGGCGUAAAGCGUCCGCAGGUGGCGAUUCAAGUCUGCGGUCAAAGACUGGGGCUUAACCCUGGAAAGGCCGUGGAAACUGAAGAGCUAGAGUGCAGUAGGGGUAGAGGGAAUUCCCGGUGUAGCGGUGAAAUGCGUAGAGCUCGGGAAGAACAUCGGUGGCGAAAGCGCUCUGCUGGACUGCAACUGACACUCAGGGACGAAAGCUAGGGGAGCGAAUGGGAUUAGAUACCCCAGUAGUCCUAGCCGUA